AGCACCUUCGGGUGUGGAUUAGUGGCGAACGGGUGAGGAACACGUGAGGAAUCUGCCUUCCACUCUGGGAUAACUCCGGGAAACCGGGGCUAAUACCGGAUACUUUCAACUGGCGGCAUCGCCGGUUGAAGAAAGUUUUUCGGUGGAAGAUGACCUCGCGGCCUAUCAGCUUGUUGGUGAGGUAAAGGCUCACCAAGGCGACGACGGGUAGCCGGCCUGAGAGGGCGACCGGCCACACUGGGACUGAGACACGGCCCAGACUCCUACGGGAGGCAGCAGUGGGGAAUAUUGGGCAAUGGAGGAAACUCUGACCCAGCGACGCCGCGUGAGGGAUGAAGGCCUUCGGGUUGUAAACCUCUUUCAGCGGGGAAUAAGCGAAAGUGAAGGUACCUGCAGAAGAAGCACCGGCUAACUAUGUGCCAGCAGCCGCGGUAAUACAUAGGGUGCAAGCGUUGUCCGGAAUUAUUGGGCGUAAAGAGCUCGUAGGUGGUCGAUCACGUCGGAUGUGAAAUUCUGAGGCUUAACCUCGGACCUGCAUUCGAUACGGGUUGACUAGAGUGUGGUAGGGGAGACUGGAAUUCCUGGUGUAGCGGUGGAAUGCGCAGAUAUCAGGAGGAACACCGAUGGCGAAGGCAGGUCUCUGGGCCAUUACUGACACUGAGGAGCGAAAGCGUGGGGAGCGAACAGGAUUAGAUACCCUGGUAGUCCACGCCGUAAACGGUGGGCGCUAGUUGUGGGAACCUUCCACGGUUUCUGCGACGCAGCUAACGCAUUAAGCGCCCCGCCUGGGGAGUACGGUCGCAAGACUAAAACUCAAAGAAAUUGACGGGGCCCCGCACAAGCAGCGGAGCAUGCGGCUUAAUUCGACGCAACGCGAAGAACCUUACCAAGGCUUGACAUAUA
RNAcentral lists this ribosomal RNA (903 nucleotides) under uncultured bacterium. Its description in RNAcentral is "bacterial SSU rRNA". It matches the Rfam family "Bacterial small subunit ribosomal RNA", at positions 73 to 990 of the family's 1533-position model. The record is from RNAcentral.